RNAcentral lists this ribosomal RNA (439 nucleotides) under uncultured bacterium. RNAcentral describes it as "partial 16S ribosomal RNA". It matches the Rfam family "Bacterial small subunit ribosomal RNA", at positions 342 to 795 of the family's 1533-position model. The record is from RNAcentral.
CGGGUGGCUGCACCAGUGGGGAAUAUUGCACAAUCGAGGAAACUCUGAUGCAGCAACGCCGCGUGGAGGAUGACACUUUUCGGAGCGUAAACUCCUUUUAUAUAGGAAGAAGAUGACGGUACUAUAUGAAUAAGCGCCGGCUAACUCCGUGCCAGCAGCCGCGGUAAUACGGAGGGCGCAAGCGUUACUCGGAAUCACUGGGCGUAAAGAGCGUGUAGGCGGAUUAAAAAGUCAGAAGUGAAAUCCUAUAGCUUAACUAUAGAACUGCUUCUGAAACUCUUAAUCUAGAAUAUGGGAGAGGUAGAUGGAAUUUCUGGUGUAGGGGUAAAAUCCGUAGAGAUCAGAAGGAAUACCGAUUGCGAAGGCGAUCUACUAGAACAUUAUUGACGCUGAGACGCGAAAGCGUGGGGAGCAAACAGGAUUAGAUACCCCCGUAGUU